RNAcentral lists this ribosomal RNA (448 nucleotides) under uncultured bacterium. Its description in RNAcentral is "SSU rRNA". It matches the Rfam family "Bacterial small subunit ribosomal RNA", at positions 26 to 518 of the family's 1533-position model. The record is from RNAcentral.
AGAACGAACGCUGGCGGCAGGCUUAACACAUGCAAGUCGAACGGUUGUAGCAAUACAGCAGUGGCAGACGGGUGAGUAACACGUGGGAACCUUCCUAGGGGUACGGAACAACUCAGGGAAACUUGAGCUAAUACCGUAUACGUCCGUGAGGAGAAAGAUUUAUCGCCCCUAGACGGGCCCGCGUAGGAUUAGGUAGUUGGUGAGGUAACGGCUCACCAAGCCUACGAUCCUUAGCUGAUCUGAGAGGAUGAUCAGCCACACUGGGACUGAGACACGGCCCAGACUCCUACGGGAGGCAGCAGUGGGGAAUCUUGGACAAUGGGCGCAAGCCUGAUCCAGCCAUGCCGCGUGAGUGAAGAAGGCCUUCGGGUUGUAAAGCUCUUUUACCAGGGACGAUAAUGACGGUACCUGGAGAAGUAAGCCCGGCAAACUUCGUGCCAGCAGCCGC